UGGGGAAUAUUGGACAAUGGGCGAAAGCCUGAUCCAGCCAUGCCGCGUGUGUGAAGAAGGUCUUCGGAUUGUAAAGCACUUUAAGUUGGGAGGAAGGGCAUUAACCUAAUACGUUAGUGUUUUGACGUUACCGACAGAAUAAGCACCGGCUAACUCUGUGCCAGCAGCCGCGGUAAUACAGAGGGUGCAAGCGGUAAUCGGAAUUACUGGGCGUAAAGCGCGCGUAGGUGGUUUGUUAAGUUGGAUGUGAAAUCCCCGGUCUCAACCUGGGAACUGCAUUCAAAACUGACUGACUAGAGUAUGGUAGAGGGUGGUGGAAUUUCCUGUGUAGCGGUGAAAUGCGUAGAUAUAGGAAGGAACACCAGUGGCGAAGGCGACCACCUGGACUAAUACUGACACUGAGGUGCGAAAGCGUGGGGAGCAAACA
RNAcentral lists this ribosomal RNA (427 nucleotides) under uncultured bacterium. Its description in RNAcentral is "partial 16S ribosomal RNA". It matches the Rfam family "Bacterial small subunit ribosomal RNA", at positions 355 to 774 of the family's 1533-position model. The record is from RNAcentral.